This 497-nucleotide ribosomal RNA is filed under the name uncultured bacterium. Its description in RNAcentral is "partial 16S ribosomal RNA". It matches the Rfam family "Bacterial small subunit ribosomal RNA", at positions 28 to 507 of the family's 1533-position model. The record is from RNAcentral.
GAUGAACGCUGGCGGCGUGCCUAAUACAUGCAAGUCGAGCGAACAGAUGAGGAGCUUGCUCCUCUGACGUUAGCGGCGGACGGGUGAGUAACACGUGGAUAACCUACCUAUAAGACUGGGAUAACUUCGGGAAACCGGAGCUAAUACCGGAUAAUAUAUUGAACCGCAUGGUUCAAUAGUGAAAGACGGUUUUGCUGUCACUUAUAGAUGGAUCCGCGCCGCAUUAGCUAGUUGGUAAGGUAACGGCUUACCAAGGCAACGAUGCGUAGCCGACCUGAGAGGGUGAUCGGCCACACUGGAGCUGAGACACGGUCCAGACUCCUACGGGAGGCAGCAGUAGGGAAUCUUCCGCAAUGGGCGAAAGCUUGACGGAGCAACGCUGCGUGAGUGAUGAAGGUCUUCGGAUCGUAAAACUCUGUUAUUAGGGAAGAACAAAUGUGUAAGUAACUAUGCACGUCUUGACGGUACCUAAUCAGAAAGCCACGGCUAACUACGUG